UUACUGGGCGUAAAGAGCUCGUAGGUGGUUUGUCACGUCGUCUGUGAAUUCCCGGGGCUUAACUUCGGGCGUGCAGGCGAUACGGGCAUAACUUGAGUGCUGUAGGGGAGACUGGAAUUCCUGGUGUAGCGGUGAAAUGCGCAGAUAUCAGGAGGAACACCAAUGGCGAAGGCAGGUCUCUGGGCAGUAACUGACGCUGAGGAGCGAAAGCAUGGGUAGCGAACAGGAUUAGAUACCCUGGUAGUCCAUGCCGUAAACGGUGGGCGCUAGGUGUAGGGGACUUCCACGUCUUCUGUGCCGCAGCUAACGCAUUAAGCGCCCCGCCUGGGGAGUACGGCCGCAAGGCUAAAACUCAAAGGAAUUGACGGGGACCCGCACAAGUAGCGGAGCAUGUGGUUUAAUUCGAAGCAACGCGAAGAACCUUACCUAAGCUUGACAUCCCAAUGACCUCUCCCUAAUCGGAGAUUUCCCUUCGGGGACAUUGGUGACAGGUGGUGCAUGGUUGUCGUCAGCUCGUGUCGUGAGAUGUUGGGUUAAGUCCCGCAACGAGCGCAACCCUUGCCUUUAGUUGCCAGCAUUAAGUUGGGCACUCUAGAGGGACUGCCAGGGAUAACCUGGAGGAAGGUGGGGAUGACGUCAAAUCAUCAUGCCCCUUAUGCUUAGGGCUACACACGUGCUACAAUGGGUGGUACAGAGGGCAGCCAAGUCGUGAGGCGGAGCUAAUCCCUUAAAGCCAUUCUCAGUUCGGAUUGUAGGCUGAAACUCGCCUACAUGAAGCUGGAGUUACUAG
RNAcentral lists this ribosomal RNA (790 nucleotides) under uncultured Bacillota bacterium. Its description in RNAcentral is "bacterial SSU rRNA". It matches the Rfam family "Bacterial small subunit ribosomal RNA", at positions 551 to 1338 of the family's 1533-position model. The record is from RNAcentral. Lineage: Bacteria; Bacillati; Bacillota.